AGCGGCGGACGGGUGAGUAAUGCCUGGGAAAUUGCCCUGAUGUGGGGGAUAACCAUUGGAAACGAUGGCUAAUACCGCAUAAUAGCUUCGGCUCAAAGAGGGGGACCUUCGGGCCUCUCGCGUCAGGAUAUGCCCAGGUGGGAUUAGCUAGUUGGUGAGGUAAGGGCUCACCAAGGCGACGAUCCCUAGCUGGUCUGAGAGGAUGAUCAGCCACACUGGAACUGAGACACGGUCCAGACUCCUACGGGAGGCAGCAGUGGGGAAUAUUGCACAAUGGGCGCAAGCCUGAUGCAGCCAUGCCGCGUGUAUGAAGAAGGCCUUCGGGUUGUAAAGUACUUUCAGCAGUGAGGAAGGUAGUGUAGUUAAUAGCUGCAUUAUUUGACGUUAGCUGCAGAAGAAGCACCGGCUAACUCCGUGCCAGCAGCCGCGGUAAUACGGAGGGUGCGAGCGUUAAUCGGAAUUACUGGGCGUAAAGCGCAUGCAGGUGGUUUGUUAAGUCAGAUGUGAAAGCCCGGGGCUCAACCUCGGAAUUGCAUUUGAAACUGGCAGA
Molecule: ribosomal RNA, 550 nt
Filed under: uncultured bacterium
Lineage: Bacteria
Description: bacterial SSU rRNA
Rfam family: Bacterial small subunit ribosomal RNA
Source: RNAcentral